RNAcentral lists this ribosomal RNA (254 nucleotides) under uncultured bacterium. RNAcentral's name for it is "partial 16S ribosomal RNA". It matches the Rfam family "Bacterial small subunit ribosomal RNA", at positions 524 to 776 of the family's 1533-position model. The record is from RNAcentral.
UACGUAGGGUGCGAGCGUUUAAUCGGAAUUACUGGGCGUAAAGCGUGCGUAGGUGGUUCGUUAAGUCUGUCGUGAAAGCCCCGGGCUCAACCUGGGAAUGGCGAUGGAUACUGGCGGGCUAGAGUGCGGUAGAGGAGAGUGGAAUUCCCGGUGUAGCAGUGAAAUGCGUAGAGAUCGGGAGGAACAUCAGUUGCGAAGGCGGCUCUCUGGACCAGCACUGACACUGGAGCACGAAAGCGUGGGGAGCAAACAGG